AGUCGGAGGGAUCCGGCCUUCGGGACGGAUCGAGUGGCGGACGGGUGCGUAACACGUGGGCGACCUGCCGCUUGGAGGGGGAUACCCCGCGGAAACGUGGGUUAAGCCCGCAUACGCUGAUCGGGGUGAUGCCCGAUCAGGAAAACCGGGGCUGUAAGAGGUUCUGGUGCCGAGCGAGGGGCCUGCGGCCGAUUAGCUAGUUGGUGGGGUAACGGCUCACCAAGGCGACGAUCGGUAGCUGGUCUGAGAGGACGAUCAGCCACACUGGGAUUGAGAACGGCCCAGACUCCUACGGGGGGCAGCAGUGAGGGAUCUUCGGCAAUGGGGGCAACCCUGACCGAGCGACGCCGCGUGCGGGAGGACGGCCUUCGGGUCGUAAACCGCUUUUCUUGGGGACGAGGCACGGGUGGUGCGAGCCACCCGAGGGACGGUACCUGAGGAAGAAGCCUCGGCUAACUACGUGCCAGCAGCCGCGGUAAUACGUAGGAGGCGAGCGUUGUCCGGAGUUACUGGGCGUAAAGGGUGCGUAGGCGGCCGCGCGCGUGGCGGGUGAAAUCUCCCGGCUUACCCGGGAGGGGGCUUGCCAGACGGCGCGGCUUGAGGGACGGAGAGGGGCGUGGAAUUCCGGGUGGAGCGGUGAAAUGCGUAGAGAUCCGGAGGAACACCGACGGCGUAGGCAGCGCCCUGGCCGUGCAAUAACCCUGACGCUGAAGCACGAAAGCUGGGGGAGCGAACAGGAUUAGAUACCCUGGUAGUCCCAGCCCUAAACGAUGUCCACCGGGUGCUGGGGGUAUCGACCCCCUCGG
Molecule: ribosomal RNA, 806 nt
Filed under: uncultured Actinomycetes bacterium
Lineage: Bacteria; Bacillati; Actinomycetota; Actinomycetes
Description: bacterial SSU rRNA
Rfam family: Bacterial small subunit ribosomal RNA
Source: RNAcentral